AUGAUGUUCAGCUGGCACAAGACAUUCACCGUUGGAGCUCUGUGGAGAAGAGGCAAGAAGAGCCCUCCCUCUGAGGACAAAGUCGUGCUGACUCACAUGAAGAUGCUAAGCUAUGCAGGGAGUCAGGAUCUGGAGCCUCCUGCAGCUUCAGAUUGUGCAGAAGAAUCCAGGCUUCCCCAAGUCAACAUCCAGGGAAACCUUGAUGUAACAGACACUCCAGCAAAUUCAGAUUACACAGCUACCCUGUCUGAUCUCAGCACCUUGGAGACCCAGUGCCGGCUUCACAGAUUCUCCAAAUUUGAAUCUGAGGACUCUGGGGUUGAGUUGCCAAGUGGGGCUAAUUCUCCAUCCACACCAAAGGGCUCUGAGAAGAGUUUUGUGCUUCACAGUAGAGACUCUUCUUGUGACUCUGGAGUGCUCAGUGCCUCUUCCUCUCCAGAAAUUGACCACAUUAUAAUGAGAGCAUGUCAAGACCCUGGAGAAGCUAAUCCCAACAGGAAUGCUCCAGAGAGCAAAAAUCAAGUGGAGCAGUACAGCCAGGUGAUAGACUCUAUGCAGAUUCCUGCAUCUUCCUUGGAAGAUUUCAGCAAUUGUCAGAAGGGAGAAAGUCCUGAUCAACUUUUUGGCCAAAGCAAAGGGCAGUCUUUAGAAGAGGAACCCAGCAAAGAGACAGACCUCCCCAUUCAUGAUACUCCUCCAACUGUGCCUCCCAUGGAAGAGCAAAAGACUACCACUAGCCAUUACAAAGAGACCUUUGGCAGCAUGCAGGAUCUUCAAAUUCAUGGAAAUCAACUUAAGAAAUAUCCCACGAGUGACAGUCUGGACGAGUACAUGGAUGAGUGCUGUCGAUUAAGUGAGGUGAAUCAAGGGAACACCAAGGUGCUUGGCUCUGGCCUCGGGUAUCUGGAACACAUCUGUCAGCUCAUCGAGAAAAUUGGACAACUACAGGAGCACAACCUCCGGCUCCAAAAACAAGUGUGCAGCUUGCAGAAAGAGCAGAAGAUGUACCAGAUAAAGGAGGAGUAUUUUCUGCAGCACUGCUCCUGUGGAGCUGCCAGCAUCUUGCUCAAUUCGUACCAGGAGGUGAAGAAACUUUUUACUGGGAGGAGCAGACCUCAUAGUCUCUUGGUUCAGAAUGGAAACCACUCUGAUCUUUCAAUCAUUCCAGAAAUAGCAGUCCACAGCGAAAAGCUGAGCAACUACAGAGGAAGUGGCAGACACCUGGAAUCUGGAAACAGUCAGCUGGUGACUGGGCUCAGGAAAUCAUCAAGUAAAUGGAGUAGCGAGGAGAAUGAGUUCAGAGAUUCUUACAAUGUAACUGAUGUACAAGCAUUAAAGGACCAAGCUAUGAAAAAGGGUUCUGUUGUCAGCCAGACCAUCUCAGGUGAAGGCCAUGCUUGGGGCAGAGUGAGGGAUCUCAUGAAGAAGACGAGGCUGCGGAACCAGAGCAAAUUGGGGCUGUCUUCAGCUGCUCUGAAAAGGUCCUGCCCACAGCUGUACAGGCCAGAUAUUAUGUCUUCAGAUCUGAGGAAGACAGAAAGGAACUCUAUGAUAGUGCUGGGGCACAGCACAAAGAAUGAAAACAUCUGGCCUCUCUGAUAAUCUGGAUGGAGUGGAACAAGAGAAGAACAUUACUGGACUCUAAACCACAAGCCCUGGGAUGCACCUAUAUUUUCCAGGCUGUGUCAUGGAAGGAAGAGAAAGAGUAGAAAGUAGGGGGGUAGAGAAAGGUUUGUUGAAGAGUGGCAUGUUUGGCUCUGUAUGGCUUUGCUCUCCAGUCUAGAGUGUGCUUAAAAACAAAGCUACAUAUCAGAAGCAUAAUUACUGGUCACAGCAACAGAAAUAGCAGGUAUGCUUAGCGUGUGCUGUGAAACCUCUUUUCUGGGCUAUGGACAGAUAUUUGAGUGCUGCUACUUGUUCUGUAUCCUUGUUCUCUGAAGUCUUUCUCCAGUGGAAACAUUCUUGAGCUUACAAAAAUGUCAUAGACUCUUUGCAUAUGGUAGAAGUUGCUGGUUGUGGGGUGUCAGGCUCAAGGGAGUUUUACUGCACACAUAUCUAAGCUGCAUACAUAUCUAAACCACAUUCACAUUCUGAAACAGUCAUUGCCCAUCUGUGAUUGGCAAGGAAAUGUUAAUGAAACCCAGGCAAUCACUGAGUCUCUGAAAGCUAAGAUUUUCUAAAACUAUAUUCAAAACAAUGUUUAAGACCCAAUCCAGUACAUGCAACCCACUUUAUCUCAGUGAAGCCCCAGUAAAUUCAGCAGAUCUCCAGGUAGACAGGAGAUUACACCAAUACUGAGGUCACUGGGGCCCAAAAGACACUUAAAUAAACAGCCUUAUCUUCAAGUUUUGAGGGAACA
Molecule: long non-coding RNA, 2359 nt
Organism: Crocodylus porosus (Australian saltwater crocodile)
Lineage: Eukaryota; Metazoa; Chordata; Crocodylia; Crocodylidae
Source: Ensembl